UACGGAAGGGGCCAGCGUUGUUCGGAAUUACUGGGCGUAAAGCGCGCGUAGGCGGCUUUUCAAGUGAGGCGUGAAAGUCCUGGGCUCAACCUGGGGACGGCGCUUCAGACUGUCUGGCUAGAGUCCGGAAGAGGGUGGUGGAAUUCCGAGUGUAGAGGUGAAAUUCGUAGAUAUUCGGAGGAACACCGGUGGCGAAGGCGGCUACCUGGACAGAAACUGACGCUGAGGCACGAAAGCUAGGGGAGCAAACAGG
Molecule: ribosomal RNA, 253 nt
Filed under: uncultured prokaryote
Description: partial 16S ribosomal RNA
Rfam family: Bacterial small subunit ribosomal RNA
Source: RNAcentral